Brassica napus (rape) is the source of this 5751-nucleotide long non-coding RNA. RefSeq lists it as uncharacterized. The record is from RefSeq and is a predicted model, not a curated record. The transcript is spliced from 2 exons. NCBI's taxonomy places the organism in Eukaryota, Viridiplantae, Streptophyta, Magnoliopsida, Brassicales, Brassicaceae.
UAAAAAUAAAAAUAAUUAACAUAUUUAAGUAUAUAAUUGUGAUUUAGAUAUGUUUGGUAUCCAAAAUAUUUUAGUUUGGAUCAGAUUCAGAUCUGCUUAUCUGGAUAUUAAACUUUUAGAUCUAUCUGAGUACUUAAAUCAGUUUUAGUUUGUGUUUAGUAUUACUUUCAAAUCUAGUUCAGUUCGUUUCUUCGGAUCUAGAUAUUUUGCACAGACUUACUUUCUUCGGAUAAUAUAAAGCAAAAUAAAAUAAAUGUAAAAUAAAUAUUCUAAGCUCGUUCACAUACAUAAUUAUUGGAUCAUACUUUAAGAAUACCAAUAAAAACGGUUGGGCGUCGUGUCAAUGUUGUUGGACAUGUUGCAAAACUGGCGUAGUUUAUAACCAAUAACGUAUUUUCUUAUAAAAAUAAUUGGUAAAUAUAAUAAAAACACGAUACAAUCAAGUGAAAAUUGUUAGAGUUAAGUGGAAAAUAAUAUGAUCUCUUCAGUCGGCACCUGAAUUUUGCUUUUUCAAUCGGUUCAUGAAUUUUCUUCUUCUUUUAAAGCUUUUAUGAUUUCUGAUUGUUUGUAGCAAUUUGAUUAUGUUUCCAAUUCUUGGUUUGAUAUGAAAAUUUUGUAAAAAAAAGUAAUAUUUGGCUAAACUAAAGAUCUGACUCUGUGUGUGACAUUUUUUACCUCAAUUUCCUUAAUAACCAAUCACAAUUAUUUAUUGUCUUCGUGUACAUAAACCUUAACCAUGGCUAACUUCGACAAUAUACGAAUCUUUCAGUUUCUAAAAACAUUCUCAUUCCAGCAUUUUAGUUGGUGUGAAUUUUAAUGAUUUUGAAUUUUUUUCUUUUAAAAUGAUAUUAUUUAGUAGUAGUACAAAGUGAAUUUCAGUUCACUAAUACAAAGAUUAAAAAUGCAAGAACUAAAAAUGAACUGAUUAAAAAAAAUUAGUGUCAACACUUUAAAUUAUCUGCGGUGGAGUUAAAAAAUUAGUGUGUGAGCACAUUUAUUGUUAAAUGAUUGUGAGGGUGACACGUCAGCAUACUCAAAUUUAAAUCGAUGUGAAGCUGUCACGUGUCAAAUGUAGUGUGAAAGCAUUAAGUAACAGUGCUUCUCUUUUAAUAUAUAAGAGAUUCUCAUUAGCGCUCUCCUAUUAUCAUCUUCAUCCUCAUCAUCAUUCAACGAGCCUCACAUAUUACGAUGCCUACACAUAUAAGGAUCAUUUCUCUUGUGAUAAACAACAUCAUUGAAUAGUGAACCAUUUUGCUCAUUCAUCGUCGGAUGUCUUCUUUUUUCUCAGGAGUUUUAGGUGGAAACCAUGAUACUUGGUUCAUGUUAUCUUUGUAGCCUAUGUAUUCCACAAGUGCGAGAACCGACUGCAAAGUAAAACCAUCAGCUGCUCUUCUACCGCCUUCAUGAACUUCAUCUCCAUGAUAUUCGUCUUUGCUGCUCCAAUAUCCACCAGUGUAGAAAGAGGUCAAAGCUGUAAGGGAAUCGUUCACCAAUGAGAAAAUCAAGCAAUCUAUCAAAUUAUCAAUUGAUACAAAAAAAUUAUCAAAGAAGGUCUCUGGUUACUUACCUCAACGUCAUGGCCCUUCUCUUGCUCAAUUAUCUUAAAAUAGAGCAGAGAACUGAAGAAAUUGACUUAAAUCAUCAUGAAUCACAUAAUCAAUUGAAAUUUUGAAGGUUGAGUUGAAAGCACCAAUUCUCCACUCUUAGAACCCUAAUUCGCGAUUUAAGAAUGCUACAAGACUUAUUUUCGUUUAAGAACGAAUUUAAAAUGGAAAUGGUGCAGUUUCAAUCGAAACGCAAAUAGCCGUUUUUGAAAAUGUCCCUUUAGUGGUGGUAAAAAUGAAAAGUGGUAGUAUGAAAGUGGUAAACAUAUAAUUUUCCCAUAUAUUAAAUAAAUAUGUCUGGUAGGUGGGUUGGUUGGCUCGGUUGUUAAGUUGUGUCAGGUGCUAGGUUUGAAUCCCGUCGGAUGCAACAUUUUUAGUUUAAUGCUUAAUAUCAAAAUGACGUAGUUUUGAUUUAUGUUAAAUAGUAAUCGGCUGCCACAUCAAUUAAUAGAUUAAUGUAAAUCAUCAAAUUGAUGAAAUAGACUUAAUAUAAUUUUUAUGCUAGAUAAAAAUUCUACUUCUCUUUUUAAUAGAAAAUCUACUACCAUAUUUAAUGAUGAUGUAUAAUUUACUUUAAUGAUAUAUUUUAAUGGUGAUGUAUAAUUUACUACCAUAUUCUAAAAAGUUUACUAAAAAUAUAAUUGUUCAUGUCACAUUUAAUCAUAAGUCAUGUCAUCAAUUGUAGUAUGUCAUGUCAUAUUUAUUUAGUGAAAGUAAUUAUAGAGAAAACAUGUGUCAAAAUCACUUUACAAAUAAUGUCUAGGAGAUUCUUCCAUAAAUUGAUUAUUUUUGUAAUUUCUACCAAAGCUUUUGGUUAUGCUUGAAGAUAAUUGAAACCAAGAACAAAAAGAGAAGGAGAGUUGGUUUGCUCGUUUGUUAAGUUGUGUCAGGUGCAAGGUUUGAAUCCCGUCGGAUGCAACAUUUUUAGUUUAAUGCUUAAUAUCAAAAUGACGUAGUUUUGAUUUCUGUUAAAUAGUAAACGGCUGUCACAUCAAUUAAUUUUCAAAACGACAACCACACUGAGAGUUUUUUUUUGUAGAAAACCCUAUAACCAAAUUUUUUUUUAUCAGCAUGACUAAUUACAAAAUUAAUUAAUAAAUUAAAUAAAAAAAUUGUUAGAUUUUUUCUCAACUGAUUUUUUUAUUACGAAAAAUAAAAUUUAAAAUUACACGUAAAAAUGAUUUAUUAUUUAUAUCUUUAUAAUUAUUAAGAUUUUCUAGUAAUUUAAUAUAUUUAAUAGAUUAAUGUAAAUAAUCAAAUUGAUGAAAUAGACCUAAUAUAAUUUUUUAUGCUAGAUAAAAAUUGUACUUCUCUUUUUAAUAGAAUAUCUACUACCAUUUCCUAGCAUUCCUUAAAAAAAUCACAUUUCAUAAGAAAUAAUUUUUCAUUUUCAUUUCUUACCAUUCAUUUUUUGUAGAGAAAUAAAGAACAAAUUAAUUUCUUGUUAAAUAUGGGAUAAAACAACCUUUCAGUUUCAUUCUUGCAAUUUUAUUCUUAUACGUUCAUUUCCUAUUCGUUCUUCUUGUUUCCAGAAAGGUCACCAGUCGGACCCAUAUAAUCAUGGAUCUCAAACACUGCGAAGUCGUCACCAGUCGGACCGUUAUAAUCAUGGAUCUCAAACACUACGAAGUCAGUAAGAUGGGAUUUUUUAAAAUUAGAGAAUCACCAACUAAAUACGGGAAGAUUUGAACAAAUAAUCAAAUCAUUAAUGCUUGAACAAAUAAAUCAAAUCAUUAAUGCAGUAAAUCUAAAUAUAUUUGUUUCAUUUUUAUAUAUACUUGUUUAAGUGUCUACUAGACUUUGACCCAUACUAUACUUUGAUCCGCGCUUAGAAAGCGCAGAUUUAUUUUUAAAAUUAAAUAUAUUACUUUUAUAUAAUUUAUAUAUAAUAUAAUGUAUAAGUUUGGGUACAUUUACCUGAGUGUACUGAACCGUACCCGAUUGAAAAAAAAAACUAAAAUUAAGCUGAAUUUCAUAAGAAACCGAGCAUAUCACAUAUCUUUGGAAUCGAAAAAUAGAAACUGAAUUGAAAACCAAAUGAAUACUUAAAUUUUUAAAAUACAAACUAUCUACCUACAAAUAUUUAUUAUAUUUAAAUUCUAAAUAAUCAAAUAUCCUAAAAAUACUAUUUAUAAACCAAAUUAUGCAAAAAAAAACUAAUGACUCGAAUUUUUUUUAUUCAAAUAAUUAAUAGUUAAUUAUUUAUCUUAUAUUUUUUUUCCAAACAACCUAAACUGCCCGAUUUAAAACGCAAGAUAUUUUACAUUUGUGAAAAUUCAAUAAAACGUAUCAUAUGCAUUGUUAGAAUUUGUAAAAUAAAUAAAUAUGUUAUAUUUAAACCAGUCUUUUUUUACCAAUUUCAUUUAAAUCUUCAACCCGUUUAGACCCAUUUGAUAUUUUUUAUGAUAAGAUUAAUCAUUUAGUUCAUAUAUAAGAAUGUACGAUCAAAUCUUAAUAAUUGAUUGCAUGUAAUCAAUUAAAUUAAUGUUUCAUAGUUGAAUAGUUGACAUUAUGGAUUUUAGUUUCCAAUUCACGUAAAAAUGAAAAAAAAAAUUGUUAUACACCAGAGAAUUCUCCAUUACAACAUAUAUUAAACAUAAGUAAACCAUUAAAAUUUUAUACUAUUAAUGGAACUAUAUGUGGUAAUGAUCACGCCAUGUGUAAACAUGUUUGAAUAAUCUGUCAUAUAUUCAUGUGGAUUUAUUGUUAGGGUAAUUGUAUAAUAGAUAAUGCGAGAAUAAUAAAUGAAUUCAUUUAAAUUAUGUAAAUUAUUUAUAUAGUUAGAAAAAUAUAAGGAAAGACCAAAAAAAUAGUUAAGUCUAAUGAAAUGAUCUAACAACUUUGGUUAAGUAGAUUUUUUAAGAAUAUUUCCCUUUUAAUAGUAUAGAUGUCAAAAUAUUGUAGAUCAUGAGCAUAAAAUAUAGUGUAGAACAUUAUUGAUUAACAAUCACUAUGAUGAGAGAUAUAAUUAAUUUAUAAAAGAAGUGUAUUACAUAAAAUAAAGAGUAAUAAUAUAAUAUUUGAACCAUGUUUUUAGUUGGAUGAUUGUAUUAUUAGAUGGUCCAUCAUGAAAAAGUUAUGUAUCCCUUUAUUAUUAUUUGAGGAGCAUUAAAAAUAAAUAACUUUUAGUUCAUGUGUUUAUUACAAGUGUGUCAUUUCUUACGUGGCAACUCCACAAGCUCCCUCACCUAUUCUAUUUAAAACCCCUUUGUUAACUAGAGUAAUUACACAACAUGCCAUUGAUCAAAACUUUAUAAUUUCCUUAGUAUUGUACUAAUUAAGUAUGCAGUUCGUUUUAAUAAAGAAGUAUAAACAAUAAACAAUAAAUAGACGGUUGCAUGUACAUAAAUGCACAUGAGGCCGAGUUUCUAUAAUUUGGUUCUUUCUCCCUUUGGUAUCAAUAUUAAUUAAUACUAACGUAUUGUUAGAGAAAGAAGAAAAAAUCGGGUAAAUAUAUGGUCUUGAGUAAUAUAUUGUUACAGACAUAUAAAUCAAGUAAGACCAAAAUAAAUAAAUCUGAUGAAAGAAUUCAAACAACUUUCAUAAGUAGAUUUUUUAGGACUCAUUCUCUUUUAAUAGUAUUGAUAAAAGAAUAAAAUAUUAUCCCACCAAUAUUGAAACAUAAUUAGGAAAGAUAAUCUUUUUCUUUCUUUUUGGUUAUAAUCUAAAAAUUAAAUUGAAAGAUUUCUGACCACAAAAUAUCUUUUUACACAUAUAGGUGUUCUUAUAUAUAGAACCUUCUCUAGUAAAACGAAAAAGAUGAAGAAAACUUCAUUAGAGAUGGCUAUCACCAAGAAAAUGUUAGUGGCAAUUAUUUUCAGCAUCUUCUUCAUUGUGUCCUCUGUUCAUUGCUCCGACCGCACUCUUGGUUAUGGAAUAAAUCAAGAUUUUAAAAAAUGCUUCCCAAAGCAGCCGUGUGGAGAUUCUUGCAGAGACUACUGUCAAACUCAUGUUAGUCUUGUGGGAUUAUGGGAAACUUGUGAAAACGGCGGAUGUUGUUGUACAAGCAAGAUAUCCUAAUAAUAAUAUCAUCAAAUAUAUGCAUCUGCUAGAAGAAUAAUAUAGUUACUUUUCAUAUGGUUUAUAAUUACUUUGUUAGCCUCUAUUGCUCAGAGAUGAAUUAACGAUCCAUCUUUAAGAGGAAAAA